GGUGAGGAAUAGACAGGUCACGUACCCCGCACUUCAGAAUAGUGUCCCAAAAGGGGCGAUAAUACUGAAUGAUGUCCUCUGUGUAAUGCAGGGAACCAAAGAUUUAUCGGUGUGGGAGCGGCCUGUUUCCUAUCAGCUAGUUGGUGAGGUAACGGCCCACCAAGGCGACGACGGGUAGCGGGACUGAGAGGUUGGCCCGCCACAUCGGGACUGAGACACUGCCCGGACCUCCACGGAGGGCUGCAGUAACGAGUAUUGGGCAAUGGGCGAAAGCCUGACCCAGCAAUGCCGCGUGCAGGAUGAAGCUCCUCGGAGUGU
This 318-nucleotide ribosomal RNA is filed under the name uncultured bacterium. Its description in RNAcentral is "bacterial SSU rRNA". It matches the Rfam family "Bacterial small subunit ribosomal RNA", at positions 105 to 426 of the family's 1533-position model. The record is from RNAcentral.